Molecule: transfer RNA, 72 nt
Filed under: Toxocara canis (dog roundworm)
Lineage: Eukaryota; Metazoa; Nematoda; Chromadorea; Rhabditida; Toxocaridae
Rfam family: tRNA
About the family: Transfer RNA (tRNA) molecules are approximately 80 nucleotides in length.
Source: Rfam by way of RNAcentral
AGGGCAGUAGUUCAGUGAGUAGAACCUACGCCCGUUAUGCGCGAGACCCGGGUUCGACCCCUGGCUGCUAUU